GCCCUCGUAGUUCAAUGGAUAGAAUAGGAUCCUUCUAAGAUCUAGAUGUUGGUUCGAUUCCAACCGAGGGCA
This 72-nucleotide transfer RNA is filed under the name Candidatus Staskawiczbacteria bacterium RIFOXYA2_FULL_32_7. RNAcentral's name for it is "tRNA-Arg". It matches the Rfam family "tRNA". Rfam says of the family: Transfer RNA (tRNA) molecules are approximately 80 nucleotides in length. Their secondary structure includes four short double-helical elements and three loops (D, anti-codon, and T loops). RNAcentral also lists the same sequence under 3 other names. Lineage: Bacteria; Candidatus Staskawicziibacteriota. The record is from RNAcentral.